GUGCCAGCCGCCGCGGUAAUACCGGCAGCCCGAGUGAUGACCGAUCUUAUUGGGCCUAAAGCGUCCGUAGCUGGCUACGCAAGUCCGUCGGGAAAUCCACUCGCUCAACGAGUGGCCGUCCGGUGGAAACUCCACACCUUGGGACCGGAAGGCUCGAAGGGUACGGCCGGGGUAGGAGUGAAAUCCUGUAAUCCCGUCCGGACCACCGAUGGCGAAAGCACUUCGAGAAAACGGAUCCGACAGUGAGAGACGAAAGCUGGGAUCUCGAACCGGAUUAGAUACCCCAGUAGUCC
RNAcentral lists this ribosomal RNA (293 nucleotides) under uncultured bacterium. Its description in RNAcentral is "partial 16S ribosomal RNA". It matches the Rfam family "Archaeal small subunit ribosomal RNA", at positions 455 to 747 of the family's 1478-position model. The record is from RNAcentral.